Molecule: ribosomal RNA, 468 nt
Filed under: uncultured bacterium
Lineage: Bacteria
Description: partial 16S ribosomal RNA
Rfam family: Bacterial small subunit ribosomal RNA
Source: RNAcentral
GACGAACGCUGGCGGCGUGCUCAACACAUGCAAGUCGAACGGAAAGGCCCUGCUUUUGUGGGGUGCUCGAGUGGCGAACGGGUGAGUAACACGUGAGUAACCUGCCCUUGACUUUGGGAUAACUUCAGGAAACUGGGGCUAAUACCGGAUAGGAUCUCCUGCUUCAUGGUGGGGGUUGGAAAGUUUCGGCGGUUGGGGAUGGACUCGCGGCUUAUCAGCUUGUUGGUGGGGUAGUGGCUUACCAAGGCUUUGACGGGUAGCCGGCCUGAGAGGGUGACCGGCCACAUUGGGACUGAGAUACGGCCCAGACUCCUACGGGAGGCAGCAGUGGGGAAUAGUGCACAAUGGGCGGAAGCAUGAUGCAGCAACGCCGCGUGCGGGAUGACGGCCUUCGGGUUGUAAACCGAUUUCGCCUGUGACGAAGCGUGAGUGACGGUAAUGGGUAAAGAAGCACCGGCUAACUACGUG